Molecule: ribosomal RNA, 440 nt
Filed under: uncultured bacterium
Lineage: Bacteria
Description: bacterial SSU rRNA
Rfam family: Bacterial small subunit ribosomal RNA
Source: RNAcentral
CCUACGGGGUGCAGCAGUGGGGAAUAUUGCACAAUGGGGGAAACCCUGAUGCAGCAACGCCGCGUGGAGGAUGACACAUUUCGGUGCGUAAACUCCUUUUAUAUAGGAAGAUAAUGACGGUACUAUAUGAAUAAGCGCCGGCUAACUCCGUGCCAGCAGCCGCGGUAAUACGGAGGGCGCAAGCGUUACUCGGAAUCACUGGGCGUAAAGAGCGUGUAGGCGGAUAAAUAAGUUUGAAGUGAAAUCCUGUGGCUUAACCAUAGAACUGCUUUGAAAACUGUUUAUCUAGAAUAUGGGAGAGGUAGAUGGAAUUUCUGGUGUAGGGGUAAAAUCCGUAGAGAUCAGAAGGAAUACCGAUUGCGAAGGCGAUCUACUGGAACAUUAUUGACGCUGAGACGCGAAAGCGUGGGGAGCAAACAGGAUUAGAUACCCGAGUAGUC